Molecule: ribosomal RNA, 497 nt
Filed under: uncultured bacterium
Lineage: Bacteria
Description: partial 16S ribosomal RNA
Rfam family: Bacterial small subunit ribosomal RNA
Source: RNAcentral
GAUGAACGCUGGCGGCGUGCCUAAUACAUGCAAGUCGAGCGGACAGACGAGGAGCUUGCUCCUCUGACGUUAGCGGCGGGCGGGUGAGUAACACGUGUAUCACCUACCUAUCAGACUGGGAUAACUUCGGAACACCGGAUCUAAUCCCGGAUGAUCUAUUGAAGCGCGUGGGUCGAUGGUGAGAGACGGUUUUUCUGUCACUUCUCGCUGGAUCCGCGCCGUAUUAGCUGGUUGGUCAGGUAACGGCUUACCAAGGCGACGAGGCGUAGACGACCGGAGAGACGGAUCGGCCACACGAGAGCGUGGACACGCACAUGACUCCUACGGGAGGCAGCAGUCGCGAAUCGUCCGCAAUGGGCGAAAGCCUUACGGAGCAACGCCGCGCGAGUGAUGAAGGCCUUCGGAUCGGAAUACUGGGUUACUGGUGAUGAACCACUGUGUAAGUAACUAUGCACUUCUUGACGGUACCGAAUCAGAAAGCCCCGGCUAACUACGUG